UUUCCGUAGGUGAACCUGCGGAAGGAUCAUUAAAGAGUAAGGGUCUUCGGGCCCGAUCUCCAACCCUUUGUUUAACUACCAUGUUGCUUUGGCGGGCCCGUCUCACGACCGCCGGAAGUUUGGCUUCGACCAAACUUCUGGCCCGUGCCCGUCAGAGGCCCCUUCAAAUUCUUGAUCAAGUAUGAUGUCUUAGUUAAAAACUUAAUAGUUAAAACUUUCAACAACGGAUCUCUUGGUUCUG
RNAcentral lists this unclassified non-coding RNA (241 nucleotides) under plant metagenome. RNAcentral's name for it is "partial contains small subunit ribosomal RNA, internal transcribed spacer 1, and 5.8S ribosomal RNA". The record is from RNAcentral.